Rhododendron vialii is the source of this 4759-nucleotide RNA transcript. RefSeq lists it as uncharacterized. The record is from RefSeq and is a predicted model, not a curated record. Lineage: Eukaryota; Viridiplantae; Streptophyta; Magnoliopsida; Ericales; Ericaceae. The transcript has 28 exons.
CCGCGUUUCUCAACCUAAAACAAAAUUCCCAUGGAAGCUACCCGCCACAAAUGAAAACUCAAACUCCUUCCCGCACAAACUCAACAGCCCUAAUUCCCAAAAUCCACCGGCAAUAACUCUCUCACAAAAAAUAUCGAUGAAGAAGAACACGCAGAACUCAAUUUCAAACCACACAGAGAUGGAAUCCUCAGCACCACCAAUCAGAAACCCUAAAAGCGCAUACCACAUCGGAGGCAUCCCAGUCGAAUUCCCGUACCAACCCUACGGAUCCCAGCUGGCGUUCAUGGGCAGAGUCAUCUCAACGCUCGGUCGAGCUCAACGGGACGGCAGCUGCCACGGCUUGCUCGAGUCGCCCACGGGUACCGGAAAGACGCUGUCGCUGCUCUGCUCGGUUCUCGCUUGGCAAAAGAAUUACCAGUCGAAGAAUAUCAGCGCUAAUCCUGCCGCGUAUUUGAGGCCUGAUCCGGAGGGCCGGACCGAUCCUCUAGGUUAUGGCGGCGGAUUUGUUCCUGAAUCGCAGCCUUCAGCUUCAGGAAAUCCAGAGCCAGUUAAGUUCGCAACAAGCAACAGUAGUUCGAAGAAAAAGACUGCACCUACCAUUUUCUAUGCCUCGAGGACACACACACAAAUUACUCAGGUGAUCCGUGAAUACAAGAAAACAACUUACCGGGUGCCAAUGGCAGUGUUGGCAUCAAGGAAACAUUACUGCACAAACAUGCAUGUGCAUGGCCAAGACAAUAUCGAUGAAGAAUGUAAGUUGCUUUUGAAAGAUCCUGACGUAGGGUGCCCAGAAUUCAAAAACAUGAACAAGGUCAAAGGCCAUUUAUCUCUCAAGAAAGGAGGUUGCCAUGAGGUUCAUGACAUUGAAGAUCUUGUGAAAGUUGGACAGGCUGUGAAAGGUUGUGCCUAUUUUGCUGCACGGUCCAUGGCAGAAGAUGCGCAACUAGUUUUUUGCCCAUACAAUUACAUUGUUAAUCCAGUUAUCCGCAGAGCAAUGGAAGUUGAUAUUAAAGGGGCCAUUCUCAUUCUUGAUGAGGCGCAUAACAUAGAAGACAUGUCUCGUGAGGCAGGUAGCGUGGAUGUUGACGAAGAUGUUUUACAUAAACUGCAGACAGAGCUAGGGCAAUUGACUUUUGCUGAUGCAACGAUUUACCAACCUUUGUAUGAAAUGAUACAGGACAUCGUAAGUUGGAUGGAACGAAGAGAAAGUACCUUAGAAAAGCGUGAAUUUCAGCAUUACUUCUCAUGUUGGAGCGGAGAUAAGGCUUUAAGGGAGCUCGAAGAAGCAAACAUUUCGCGGCAGUGCUUCCCUAUAUUGCUAGAUUGUGCCUCAAAGGCAAUCAAAGCUGCUUCAGAGAUGGAGAUGGCCCAUUUAACGGGCAUGUCAGCUAUAACAUUGGAAGGGUUGUUCUCAUCACUUACCUAUUUCUUCUCUGGAAAUGGGGUGCACAUAAAUGAUUAUCAGCUUGUACUACAACGAUAUGUCAAAAGAGAUUAUCAGCUUGGACUACAACGAUAUGUCAAAAGAGAUGGUGGAAAUGUUGCUGCUGUCUGGACAUAUACCUUUAGUUUGUGGUGCAUGAAUCCAGCUGUUGUCUUCAGAGGCAUUGCUGAUCUUUCUUUAUCUGUGAUUCUAACGUCUGGGACCCUAUCCCCAAUGAACUCGUUCUCAUCAGAACUUGGAGUUCAGUUUGGAACUUGUCUGGAAGCUCCACAUGUGAUAGAUGUUGAUUCUCAGGCGUGGGCUGCUGUAAUCUCUACUGGCCCAGGUAAUUUUCCAUUGAAUGCAAGUUAUAAGACAGCUGAUGGAUUUGCCUUCCAGGAUGCACUAGGCACAUCGUUGGAGGAAAUAUGCAAGAUUGUUCCUGGAGGUUCUCUUAUUUUCUUCCCUAGCUAUAAGUUGAUGGAGAAACUAUGCAAUCGUUGGCGUGAAACAGGUCAAUGGUCUCGAUUAAGUGCUCGGAAAUCCCUUUUUAUUGAGCCGAGAGGAGGAAGCCAGGAUGAUUUUGAGCCUAUGUUGAAGGAUUAUUACGAUACGAUUAGUGGAAGCAAAAAGCCUGCUGUUGGAAGAAAGAGAAGGGGUAAAAAACUUGGCCUUAAUAACUGUGACAGUGUGGAUUGUGCAGGCAUUAUUUCUAAGGAAGGAGCUGCUUUUCUAGCAGUUUGCCGAGGAAAGGUUUCAGAAGGACUUGAUUUCUCCGAUGAAAAUGCUAGAGCGGUUAUAAUUGUGGGCAUUCCCUUUCCAAACAUAAAUGAUAUUCAAAUUGCUCAGAAGAAGAAAUAUAAUGACACAUACAAGUCAUCUAGAAACCUUCUGAGUGGGAGCGAGUGGUACUGUCAACAAACCUUCCGAGCUCUCAAUCAAGCUGCAGGCCGUUGUAUCCGACAUCGGUUUGACUAUGGAGCUAUCAUCCUGCUAGAUGAACGGUUUCGUGAAGAAAGGAAUAGAACUUAUAUUUCAAAAUGGCUAAGGAAAUCCAUCAGGCAGCAUGACAGCUUUGACAAGUCACUUGAGGAAUUACAAUCGUUUUUCAGAGAUGUCAAGGAACGGGUUGGCAAAGUGACUGUUAGUGGUUUACCAAAUCCCGAGAUCGAUGAGGAGAAUAUUUCUGAUAUGCCUCAAGGCAAAGGGUCCACAAGAAAGACAAAUCAGAAAUUGAGCAAACCUAAUAUGUGUGGAUCAAAAUUAAAUUCAAACGACAUGACAGAUAUGGACGAAACUUCCAGUUUAUGCCAAUCUCCAACUUGUGCUACAAAGUGUGAUGCCACCUCUAUAAAAUCAAAAUCAGAAGACAAUGAUGAAGUUCAAGUAUUGCAGCUGACAGAUGCAAAAUAUACCAACUGUUCCAGAGAGUAUAUUGAUCUCAAAAGCAGAUCUCGGAAUGAUUUUAGGUGCUCUGGGCCUUUAUCCAUGACAUUUACCGAUGAUGACCCCGAAGUAACCAUUGUCAAAGAAACCCCUUCUGUGGAUGUCAAUCUCUCUCUAACCAGUCCACGAUCCUUCUCUAAGGAUGAAAAUUCUUGUUCAACAAUAAUUCAGGCCCCUUCUGAGUUUCCGGACCACUUAUUACAUUCCACAUCCCCAUCAAUUUCAAAUGCAGGUCAUUUUUUGUACAGUAGUCCAUUGGCGGUCACCCCUGAAAGAAACUUCACUAGAGAUGCAAACAGAUUAUUAGCUGAUCCAGAAUGUGCCUUGAAUUUGAGCGUCAAUUCUCAUAUCCAGAAAAGGAGAAAGUCUGUAGGGUCAACAUUAGUUAACCUUGCGCGAACGCAACACUUUGAUGCUUCUGAUUGCACAUUCAAUGAUCAUCAAUCCAUCACGGGAAAUGAUUCUUUGGAAUCAUGUAAGCCUUCAAGUCAUGUUUUGGAAAAGGGACUGCAAAUAUUUUGCUCACUCUGCAGGAAUCCAUUGGGUCUUCCUGAGAACCAUUUGUUUGUUAGAUGCUCCGAAACUUCUUCAUCAAAGACUUACUUGGCAGCUCUUUUGAAAGAAAGGUUUGAAGAUUCUGGUGACAGUAAGUCAAUUGAUAUACGUGUUGUGAUAUCAGACCUAUCAUCAGUUGAUCAGCGGCUUUUUAAUAGAACUCAUGAAGGUGCUCUAGGACAGGGCAUUUGGUGUAGGGAAGAUGGUUGCGUGUUCAGCACUAUUUUAUGCCCCUUCUGCACUAGUCCAGAAAAUUGUCUUGGUGUACGGGUAAUGGCAACUGAUGCGUCAAAUCUUCAUUUACUUGACAAGGUAUUGUUUUAUCAGGAUCGUUUGGAAAUUAAGAAUCUUGAAGCAUCAAAAGAAAAAGGAUUGGGUUGUAUGCCUUUCCUGAAAGGCAAAUUAACACUAGUGAACUCAAUUGUAGGAUAUAUCACCAGUCAGUGGCUCCGUCUCCGAUUGUGUGGCUCCCAUUUUGAUUGAGAAAUUCUCAUACAUCCCUUUGCAGAAGAACCCAGAAGGCUGGAGGACUACUAGAUCAAAGGUACAAUUGUCAAAGGUUAGACUUCUUCCUACCUCAAGGGUUUAAGGUUCAACCCAGACAAAACUUUUGGGAUCUAUCGUAGCAUUGUAAUGUGCAAUUACAAACCGGAUUAGACGGAGCAUUUGUCAGGACCGGAGAUGUCAAAAUGCUAAACUGGGUGAGAUGUAGAUAUUUUUCAAGUGGGCAUUUGAAAGCUUUUUGGGAGGGAAACAAGCCUUUGUACGGUACAUUGGGGAGUUGGGUUUUCAUCACGCUUCCUGCAACUUUGUAGCUCUUCCAUCAAUCUCUAAUAACCCUAUGAGUUUUGAGACUGUCCUCGCAGUUUGGUGCCUUGACCUUGAUUCUCGAAAGCUGAAGCAGGUGAAUUUCUUGCGAUUGUUCUAGUCCUGAUGAGGUGUAGUUGAGCAGAGCUUGUUUGCAUGAAGGGGGAGGAUGACAGUAGUCUUUAUCUUUUAACUUAUGUACAAUAUGUCAAAUGAGUUUUUGUGUCUCGCAACGAAAUUUUGACCCAGAUGAAUGCUAGUGUUAACAGCAUUCAUGACAGUUCCCCACUAGCUAUUCACAAUCUCUCUUUUUCAUAAUGAUGGAGAGGUGUGUGACCAGAUUGAUGUGCACAUAAUUGGUCAAAAAUGUGUUGAGAACUAUUCGAUGCUUGAGGAUUGCUCGUUUUAUUAUUGGGUCUAUGUGUAUUGGACAACUCCAUACAGAACUGUGUUUGGAUUUAUACACAAAAGUCUGCAUGUAUCAUUGCUUAAUAAUAAUCUAGAUCUAGACACUGUAUAAUAAGAGAA